GACGAACGCUGGCGGCGUGCCUAAUACAUGCAAGUUGAGCGCUGAAGGUUGGUACUUGUGCCAACUGGAUGAGCAGCGAACGGGUGAGUAACGCGUGGGGAAUCUGCCUUUGAGCGGGGGACAACAUGUGGAAACGAAUGCUAAUACCGCAUAAAAACUUGAAACACAAGGUGUAAGUGUGAAAGAUGCAAUUGCAUCACUGAAAGGUGAUCCCGCGUUGUAUUAGCUAGGUGGUGAGGUAAAGGCGCACCAAGGCGAUGAUACAUAGCCGACGUGAGAGGGUGAUCGGCCGCAUUGGGACUGUGACACGGCCCAAAGUCCUACGGGAGGCAGCAGGAGGGAAUCGUCGGCAAUGGACGAAAGUCUGACCGAGCAACGCCGCGGGAGUGAAGAAGGUUGUCGGGUCGUAAAACUCUGUUGGUAGAGAAGAACGUUGGUGAGAGUGGAAAGCUCAUCAAGUGACGGUAACUACUCAGAAAGGGACGGCUAACUACGUG
This 497-nucleotide ribosomal RNA is filed under the name uncultured bacterium. RNAcentral's name for it is "partial 16S ribosomal RNA". It matches the Rfam family "Bacterial small subunit ribosomal RNA", at positions 28 to 507 of the family's 1533-position model. The record is from RNAcentral.